RNAcentral lists this ribosomal RNA (466 nucleotides) under uncultured bacterium. RNAcentral's name for it is "partial 16S ribosomal RNA". It matches the Rfam family "Bacterial small subunit ribosomal RNA", at positions 30 to 507 of the family's 1533-position model. The record is from RNAcentral.
CGACCGCUGGCGGCGUGCUUACCACAUGCACGUCGAACGGCAAGGCCCUGCUUUUGUGGGGUGCUCGAGUGGCGAACGGGUGAGUAACACGUGAGUAACCUGCCCUUGACUUUGGGAUAACUUCAGGAAACUGGGGCUAAUACCGGAUAAGAGCUCCUGCUGCAUGGUGGGGGUUGGAAAGUUUCGGCGGUUGGGGAUGGACUCGCGGCUUAUCAGCUUGUUGGUGGGGUAGUGGCUUACCAAGGCUUUGACGGGUAGCCGGCCUGAGAGGGUGACCGGCCACAUUGGGACUGAGAUACGGCCCAGACUCCUACGGGAGGCAGCAGUGGGGAAUAUUGCACAAUGGGCGGAAGCCUGAUGCAGCAACGCCGCGUGCGGGAUGACGGCCUUCGGGUUGUAAACCGCUUUCGCCUGUGACGAAGCGUGAGUGACGGUAAUGGGUAAAGAAGCACCGGCUAACUACGUG